UCUCCGUAGGUGAACCUGCGGAGGGAUCAUUACUGAGUGAGGGCUCACGCCCGACCUCCAACCCUUUGUGAACCAAACUUGUUGCUUCGGGGGCGACCCUGCCGUUCGGCGCGGCGCCCCCGGAGGCUCAUCAAACACUGCAUCUUUGCGUCGGAGUUUAAAACAAAUUAAACAAAACUUUCAACAACGGAUCUCUUGGUUCUGGCAUCGAUGAAGAACGCAGC
This 224-nucleotide unclassified non-coding RNA is filed under the name uncultured fungus. RNAcentral's name for it is "sequence contains ITS1, 5.8S rRNA gene". The stretch from base 176 to 224 matches the Rfam family "5.8S ribosomal RNA", at positions 1 to 49 of the family's 154-position model. Lineage: Eukaryota; Fungi. The record is from RNAcentral.